This 773-nucleotide ribosomal RNA is filed under the name uncultured Neocallimastigales. RNAcentral's name for it is "partial large subunit ribosomal RNA". It matches the Rfam family "Eukaryotic large subunit ribosomal RNA", at positions 26 to 614 of the family's 3401-position model. Lineage: Eukaryota; Fungi; Neocallimastigomycota; Neocallimastigomycetes; Neocallimastigales. The record is from RNAcentral.
CGCAUCUGUGCAUGCAGCAUAUCAAUAAGCGGAGGAAAAGAAACUAACAAGGAUUCCCCUAGUAACGGCGAGUGAAGCGGGAAGAGCUCAAAUUUGAAAUCUUAAAGGGUUUCCCUUUACGAAUUGUAGUUUAAAGAAGUGUUUUCUGUUGAGGUUUUGGUAAAAGUUCUUUGGAAUAGGACAUCAUAGAGGGUGAGAAUCCCGUAUUUGACCUUUACUUUCAACUUUGUGAUACACUUUCAAAGAGUCGGAUUGUUUGGGAAUGCAGUCCAAAAUGGGUGGUAAAUUUCAUCUAAAGCUAAAUAUUGGCGAGAGACCGAUAGCGAACAAGUACCGUGAGGGAAAGAUGAAAAGAACUUUGAAAAGAGAGUUAAACAGUACGUGAAAUUGUCAAAAGGGAAGCGUUUGACACCAGUGUUGUUUUUCUGAAAAUCAAUUAAAGAACUGUUUAUGCUAAGUUGUUUAGACUUUAUCAGCUAACUGUUUAGUUUUGAGCUUUUCUUUAAUGCACUUUUCAGUUAACAAGUCAACAUCAAUUUCUUUGCUGUAAAAAAGCUUGAGGAAGGUGGCUUGAGAUUCGUCUUAAGUGUUUAUAGCCUCUUGCCUAUGCAGUCGGAGAGAUUGAGGUCUGCAGCGUAGAUCCUUCGGGGCUAAAUGCAUUUGUGCUAAGUUAUAGCAUUUUAUAGACAACUUGUUGACUAUGAUUUGUCUUGUAGCUUACUCGCUUAUGUUAUUUUACCUACGCUUAGGAUGUUGAACGCGCACAGAGUCUC